RNAcentral lists this ribosomal RNA (297 nucleotides) under Triticum aestivum (bread wheat). RNAcentral's name for it is "partial small subunit ribosomal RNA". Lineage: Eukaryota; Viridiplantae; Streptophyta; Magnoliopsida; Poales; Poaceae. The record is from RNAcentral.
AUGGUGUCGGGAUCAAGCUCGCAGGGGCGGCAUGGCAAGGAGACGACGGAGGAGCUGCUAGCCAGGUUGAAUUUGCAGGAGGAGGAAGAUGAUGAUUUCGUGUGGGAGGAGGAGUUGCCGGAUCUGGGGGCGCCGGCGAAGUGGCUAGCCAUAGCCAGGGUACACACUACAAGGACUUUCAGCCCUAAUGCUCUUUAUGGGGACAUGCGUGCAGCCUGGAAUCCAGCGAAAACGGUGGUCUGGAGGAAGGUGAAGGACAACUUGUGCACAACGCGGUUUGGUUGUCCAGGGGAUUGG